GACGAACGCUGGCGGCGUGCUUAACACAUGCAAGUCGAACGGAAAGGCCCUGCUUUUGUGGGGUGCUCGAGUGGCGAACGGGUGAGUAACACGUGAGUAACCUGCCCUUGACUUUGGGAUAACUUCAGGAAACUGGGGCUAAUACCGGAUAGGAGCUCCUGCUGCAUGGUGGGGGUUGGAAAGUUUCGGCGGUUGGGGAUGGACUCGCGGCUUAUCAGCUUGUUGGUUGGGUAGUGGCUUACCAAGGCUUUGACGGGUGGCCGGCCUGAGAGGGUGACCGGCCACAUUGGGACUGAGAUACGGCACAGACUACUACGGGAGGCAGCAGUGGGGAAUAUUGCACAAUGGGCGGAAGCCUGAUGCAGCAACGCCGCGUGCGGGAUGACGGCAUUCGGGUUGUAAACCGCUUUCGCCUGUGACGAAGCGUGAGUGACGGUAAUGGGUAAAGAAGCACCGGCUAACUACGUG
Molecule: ribosomal RNA, 468 nt
Filed under: uncultured bacterium
Lineage: Bacteria
Description: partial 16S ribosomal RNA
Rfam family: Bacterial small subunit ribosomal RNA
Source: RNAcentral